This 429-nucleotide ribosomal RNA is filed under the name Bacteroidota bacterium. RNAcentral's name for it is "Bacteroidetes bacterium partial 16S ribosomal RNA". It matches the Rfam family "Bacterial small subunit ribosomal RNA", at positions 355 to 776 of the family's 1533-position model. The record is from RNAcentral. Lineage: Bacteria; Pseudomonadati; Bacteroidota.
UAGGGAAUCUUCCGCAAUGGACGCAAGUCUGACGGAGCAACGCCGCGUGAGUGAAGAAGGAUUUCGGUUCGUAAAACUCUGUUGUUAGAGAAGAACAGCGCAUAGAGUAACUGUUAUGCGUGUGACGGUAUCUAACCAGAAAGCCACGGCUAACUACGUGCCAGCAGCCGCGGUAAUACGUAGGUGGCAAGCGUUGUCCGGAUUUAUUGGGCGUAAAGCGAGCGCAGGCGGUCAAUUAAGUCUGAUGUGAAAGCCCCCGGCUCAACCGGGGAGGGUCAUUGGAAACUGGUUGACUUGAGUGCAGAAGAGGAGAGUGGAAUUCCAUGUGUAGCGGUGAAAUGCGUAGAUAUAUGGAGGAACACCAGUGGCGAAGGCGACUCUCUGGUCUGUAACUGACGCUAAGGCUCGAAAGCGUGGGUAGCAAACAGG